RNAcentral lists this ribosomal RNA (1616 nucleotides) under Hepatocystis sp. ex Callosciurus notatus HNH-2013. RNAcentral describes it as "SSU rRNA". It matches the Rfam family "Eukaryotic small subunit ribosomal RNA", at positions 61 to 1439 of the family's 1831-position model. Lineage: Eukaryota; Apicomplexa; Aconoidasida; Haemosporida; Plasmodiidae. The record is from RNAcentral.
AAGUAUAUGCAUAUUUGAUAUGUAGAAACUGCGAACGGCUCAUUAAAACAGUUAUAAUCUACUUGACAUUUGUACUUAUAUAAGGAUAACUACGGAAAAUCUGUAGCUAAUACUUGCUCAUGAACAUAUUUGCCUAGCAAAUGUGUUUUAGUACUUGUUAUCUUUUAUAAACAAAAGUAUAGUAAACGAUUGAAUAAUAACAACGAAGUGACACGUAACCUGACUUAUGUCUAGUUUAGUGUGUAUCAAUCGAGUUUCUGACCUAUCAGCUAUGGAUGUUAGGAUAUGGACCUAACAUGGCUAUGACGGGUAACGGGGAAUUAGAGUUCGAUUCCGGAGAGGGAGCCUGAGAAACGGCUACCACAUCUAAGGAAGGCAGCAGGCGCGUAACUUACCCAAUUCUAAAGAAGAGAGGUAGUGACAAGAAAUAAUAGGAUAAGACUAAUUUUUAGUUUUAUAUCUGUGCUGAUAGAAAAUUAAAUUUUUUCUGAAAUACUAUUGGAGGGCAAGUCUGGUGCCAGCAGCCGCGGUAAUUCCAGCUCCAAUAGCGUAUAUUAAAAUUGUUGCAGUUAAAACGCUCGUAGUUGUAUUUUCAAAAAGAUAGAAAAUUGAUCAUGACGAUAGCUUAGGGUUUAUACUUUUUUGUGCAUUUUUGCACAUUAAGGCAUAAAUGUAUAUCCGUAUACCUAUCUCGAUUUUUGAUAUCUUUCAUUUAUUAUUUAGCACUGUGUAGUAUUGUAUACUUCAACGUGCUAAAGGAUAGUUACUUUGAGUAAAUUAGAGUGUUUAAAGCAGACUUGUUUUGUUUGAAUACGAUAGCAUGGAAUAACGACAUUGAACUGGUGACACUUAUUUUUGUUUUGUUUUCGUUUCGCUACGUUACGAUUAAUAGGAGUAGCAUGGGGGCAUUUGUAUUCAGAUGUUAGAGGUGAAAUUCUUAGAUUUUCUGGAGACAAACUACUGCGAAAGCAUUUGCCUAAAAUACUUCCAUUAAUCAAGAACGAAAGUUAAGGGAGUGAAGACGAUCAGAUACCGUCGUAAUCUUAACCAUAAACGAUACCGACUAGGUUUUGGAUACAACCAUAUAUAUAGCGUGAUUAAUAGUUUUUAUAAUAUUUUUUUAUUAUGGCUAUCAAAUUAUGUCUAUCAAUACUUUAUUCAGUACCUUAUGAGAAAUCAAAGUCUUUGGGUUCUGGGGCGAGUAUUCGCGCAAGCGAGAAAGUUAAAAGAAUUGACGGAAGGGCACCACCAGGCGUGGAGCUUGCGGCUUAAUUUGACUCAACACGGGAAACUUCACUAGUGUAAGACAAGAGUAGGAUUGACAGAUUGAUUAUUGGUUCUUUCUUGAUUUCUUGGAUGGUGAUGCAUGGCCGUUUUUAGUUCGUGAAUUUUGAUUUGUCUGGUUAAUUCCGAUAACGAACGAGACCUUACUUUGCUAAUUAGCGGUGGGUACACUAGUUUAUUUGUAAACAUGUUGUAAGUAUGUCUUGUUUGGGACAUGCUUGAUAAAUUGUCCGUAUGUCUCAAUACAAGACCAUAUUUUAUAAUACUAUCACUUAUAAACGUACUUAUUUAUGUUUAUGCUUCUUAGAGGAACGAUGUGUGUUUAACACAAG